RNAcentral lists this ribosomal RNA (1251 nucleotides) under uncultured bacterium. Its description in RNAcentral is "partial 16S ribosomal RNA". It matches the Rfam family "Bacterial small subunit ribosomal RNA", at positions 90 to 1352 of the family's 1533-position model. The record is from RNAcentral.
ACUUAGUGGCGGAUGGGUGAGUAACACGUGAGCAACCAACCUUUUACUCGGGAAUAACAUGGGGAAACCCAUGCUAAUACCUGAUAUUAUCAAGAAAUGGCAUCAUAAUUUGAUGAAAGAUUUAUCGGUAAAAGACGGGCUCGCGUCCGAUUAGCUAGUUGGUAAGGUAAUGGCUUACCAAGGCCACGAUCGGUAGCCGGACUGAGAGGUCGACCGGCCACAUUGGGACUGAGAACGGCCCAGACUCCUACGGGAGGCAGCGGUGGGGAAUAUUGGGCAAUGGACGCAAGUCUGACCCAGCGAUGCCGCGUGAAGGAUGGAAGGCCCUCGGGUUGUAAACUUCUUUAGACAGGGAAGAAAGAAAUGACAUUACCUGUAGAAUAAGCCACGGCUAACUACGUGCCAGCAGCCGCGGUAAUACGUAGGUGGCGAGCGUUAUCCGGAAUUACUGGGUGUAAAGGGCGCGUAGGCGGGUAUGCAAGUUGGAUGUGAAAUUCCGGGGCUUAACUCCGGAUUGUCAUCUAAAACUGUGUAUCUUGAGUGUCAGAGGGGAAAGUGGAAUUCCUAGUGGAGUGGUGAAAUGCGUAGAUAUUAGGAGGAAUACCAGUGGCGAAGGCGGUUUACUGGGCCACAUCUGACGCUGAUGUACGAAAGCGUGGAAAGCAAACAGGAUUAGAUACCCUGGUAGUCCACGCCGUAAACGAUGAGUGCUAAGUAUCGGUAGAUUCGGUGCUUAAGCUAACGCAGUAAGCACUCCGCCUGGGGAGUACGGUCGCAAGACUGAAACUCAAAGGAAUUGACGGGGACUCGCACAAGCGGUGGAGCAUGCGGUUUAAUUCGAUGCAACGCGAAGAACCUUACCAGGUCUUGACAGUGUAAAGAAUACUUAAGAGAUUAAGGGCUAAGAAUUAAGCUUGCUUAUUUCACUUUAUAAACAGGUGGUGCAUGGUUGUCGUCAGCUCGUGUCGUGAGAUGUUGGGUUAAGUCCCGCAACGAGCGCAACCCUUAUUGCUAGUUGCCAUCAUUAAGUUGGGCACUCUAGCAAGACUGCCGGUGACAAAUCGGAUGAAGGUGGGGAUGACGUCAAAUCAUCAUGCCCCUUAUGACCUGGGCUACACGCGUGCUACAAUGGCUAAUACAAAGAGUUGCAAAACCGUGAGGUAGAGCUAAUCUCAUAAAGUUAGUCUCAGUUCGGAUUGUAGUCUGCAACUCGACUACAUGAAGUUGGAAUCGCUAGUAAUCGUAAAUCAG